RNAcentral lists this ribosomal RNA (960 nucleotides) under uncultured bacterium. RNAcentral describes it as "bacterial SSU rRNA". It matches the Rfam family "Bacterial small subunit ribosomal RNA", at positions 51 to 1005 of the family's 1533-position model. The record is from RNAcentral.
UAACAUGCAAGUCGAACGGCAGCACGGACUUCGGUCUGGUGGCGAGUGGCGAACGGGUGAGUAAUGCGCCGGAACGUAUCCAGUAGAGGGGGAUAACGCAGCGAAAGCUGUGCUAAUACCGCAUACGCCCUGAGGGGGAAAGCAUGGGAUCUUCGGACCAUGCGUUAUUGGAGCGGCCGACGUCUGAUUAGCUAGUAGGUGAGGUAAAGGCUCACCUAGGCGAUGAUCAGUAGCUGGUCUGAGAGGAUGAUCAGCCACACUGGAACUGAGAGACGGUCCAGACUCCUACGGGAGGCAGCAGUGGGGAAUUUUGGACAAUGGGCGCAAGCCUGAUCCAGCCAUUCCGCGUGAGUGAAGAAGGCCUUCGGGUUGUAAAGCUCUUUCGGCAGGGAAGAAAAGGUUCUGGUUAAUAACUGGAACUGCUGACGGUACCUGAAGAAGAAGCACCGGCUAACUACGUGCCAGCAGCCGCGGUAAUACGUAGGGUGCGAGCGUUAAUCGGAAUUACUGGGCGUAAGGGGUGCGCAGGCGGCUCUGUAAGUCUGACGUGAAAUCCCCGGGCUUAACCUGGGAACUGCGUUGGAAACUGUAGAGCUAGAGUGUAGCAGAGGGGGGUAGAAUUCCACGUGUAGCAGUGAAAUGCGUAGAGAUGUGGAGGAAUACCGAUGGCGAAGGCAGCCCCCUGGGUUAACACUGACGCUCAGGCACGAAAGCGUGGGUAGCAAACAGGAUUAGAUACCCUGGUAGUCCACGCCCUAAACGAUGUCAACUAGUUGUUGGGGAGGGAGACCUCCUUGGUAACGCAGCUAACGCGUGAAGUUGACCGCCUGGGGAGUACGGUCGCAAGAUUAAAACUCAAAGGAAUUGACGGGGGCCCGCACAAGCGGUGGAUUAUGUGGAUUAAUUCGAUGCAACGCGAAAAACCUUACCUACCCUUGACAUGUACGGAAGACUGCAGAG